This 118-nucleotide ribosomal RNA is filed under the name Pteropus alecto (black flying fox). Lineage: Eukaryota; Metazoa; Chordata; Mammalia; Chiroptera; Pteropodidae. The record is from RNAcentral.
GCCCACUGCCCGCCACCCUGAACGCGCCCGAUCUUGGCUGAUCUUGGAAGCUCAGCAGGGCCGGGCCUGGUUGGUACUUGGAUGGGAGACCGCCUAGGAAGACCAGGUGCUGUAGGCA